CCCACUGUGCCACCGUAGGUUCCCCUAAAUUCCCUGCCGUCCCCGCAAGGCACAGAGGCCAGACUCCUCCUGUGUGCGGGUUAAUGAUUACAAUCCAGCCGGGCCACAGCCGUGGUGGUUACUGAUUAAGCCGUUUUCAGAGCGAAACGACGCUUCCAGCGGGAGUGGAGCGUUCUUGCGUGAAAGCUGGGGGCCGGCAGAUUGUAUUAGCAUGAACUGUAGAAUUAUAAUAUUUCAAAUAGGGUUGUAAUUACACCACAGAAGGAAGAAAGGCAGCUGAGCCUCAAACUUGAUCGUAUAAACUCAGCCUUCUUGUCAGUGGCGCUCUCGUAUUCCAUGCCUGCAAACCGCAAAACUCCGCUCCUGCGAUUGCAGUGUGGGAUCUGAUGCUGUGCCGCUUGGUUCUUUCUGUCACUGGACGUCUGUGGUUCCAGACCCAAAUCUGACAGGUGAAAUUUCACAGAUGCAUCCUCUCCACAUGUGGACUCUGGAACUAUUUCCCUGGUCUCCUGUCAAUCACCAGGGCAUAAAGAGCUAAUUAAGGACAAACUGUGAGCAGCAGCACAAACCCAGAGUACAACGUGGGAAGGAUGGAGCUGUUCAACGGAACGAGAGGGCAACUUCAACUGCAUGAGACUGCAGGAAGCCUGGCAGAGCACGGUGUGCGGCAGACAGAGCUGCUGACUCCUGGACGCGCACAAUGAAUGACCAUACGUCCUCAAGCUGGAUUCAGCCCUCCUUAAACUUUGCCAGUUUGAUUCUACCCAUGCAGCCAUGUUUGUUUCUGAGCUGUUUAAAAAAUAAGCCGUGGGCACAGCACUGACUGGACACCUCUGUGACCCGGGCUCACAGUAGUGACUGGAGAUACAGAAACAGCUGCUGUCCCUCAGGACACCUGUGGAGAGGGACAGAAAUGGGCCUACAGUCCUG
This is a long non-coding RNA of Fukomys damarensis (Damara mole-rat), 930 nucleotides long. RefSeq lists it as uncharacterized. The transcript is spliced from 6 exons. NCBI's taxonomy places the organism in Eukaryota, Metazoa, Chordata, Mammalia, Rodentia, Bathyergidae. The record is from RefSeq and is a predicted model, not a curated record.